GACGAACGCUGGCGGCGUGCUUAACACAUGCAGGUCGAACGGAAAGGCCCUGCUUUUGUGGGGUGCUCGAGUGGCGAACGGGUGAGUAACACGUGAGUAACCUGCCCUUGACUUUGGGAUAACUUCAGGAAACUGGGGCUAAUACCGGAUAGGAGCUCCUGCUGCAUGGUGGGGGUUGGAAAGUUUCGGCGGUUGGGGAAGGACUCGCGGCUUAUCAGCUUGUUAGUGGGGUAGUGGCUUACCAAGGCUUUGACGGGUAGCCGGCCUGAGAGGGUGACCGGCCACAUUGGGACUGAGAUACGGCCCAGACUCCUACGGGAGGCAGCAGUGGGGAAUAUUGCACAAUGGGCGGAAGCCUGAUGCAGCAACGCCGCGUGCGGGAUGACGGCCUUCGGGUUGUAAACCGCUUUCGCCUGUGACGAAGCGUGAGUGACGGUAAUGGGUAAAGAAGCACCGGCUAACUACGUG
This 468-nucleotide ribosomal RNA is filed under the name uncultured bacterium. RNAcentral's name for it is "partial 16S ribosomal RNA". It matches the Rfam family "Bacterial small subunit ribosomal RNA", at positions 28 to 507 of the family's 1533-position model. The record is from RNAcentral.